AGCCAGGCAGCCAAAAGCCGCGGGCCUCCCAGGGGGGUCUCCAGGGCCCUGACUCACGUCUGGAACAGCUAAUUCUGGGUGUCGGAUGGAACGCAGAUCAUAAGGACGAGUGGGAACAGGAAAAGCAGUCCAGGGGUUGUUGACAAAGCAAAGGGGGCGGGGGCAGCGAUGGCGGUGGGAUGCAGAGAGGUGGGUGAGUUCAGGAAAGACCUCUGGAUACAGCCAACAGGACUGGCUGGAGGGCUAGACAUGGGAGAGGGGCCAGGCGGGGAAAUGGGUAUGAAGGUUGGUCCUAGGUGUCUGCUUGAAUGGCUCAGUGAACGGUAAAGCCAUUUACCAGAGUCGGGGGGGUGAAGGGGUGGUCAAGGGAAUAAAGCUUCUGGGGGGGGUGAGGAGGAGAGUCCAAGUUCUGAUUUUCCUUGUGAACAAUGAUGUGGCCAGAGCUUCAGACGGAGGCGUGAACGCAGACACCAUCAGCACAUCGCCCUCUCUCCCUUCCCCUCUGCAGCUUCAAAUGCACCAUCGCUCGACUUUCCAUGCGGCUCAGCUCCUCGAAAUGCAAACUCCUGACGUUCUGAGUCACUUCCGGCAGUGUGGAGACCGUGAGAGCAAAGGGCUUGAGGAUCAGCGAACCCGAGAACCAGUCAAGGACAUGCCCAGGCAAAGGCACAGAAAAGGAGCCAAAUGAAAAGCAGGGCCCAAGAGGGUGAAGGCAAGUGAGGUGUGUGCAGGGCCCAGGGUGCCCGCCGAGUGGAGCCUGAGUGCAGAUUAAACCGGGAAGGGACCGCAGGAGCCUGAGGUCAACGCCCUGAGGCCCCCCCGCCACCCCCGGGCUUGAGGAGCCGCCUCUUCCCCAAACGCAGGGCCCCAUGGGAUCAGACAGCAGCCCCCGCACGUGAAGUGGGACUGCAAACACCAAAAGACGGAGAGAUAGGACCUGGAGACCAUCUGACCUUCCCCUCGACUGAUGGAGACGAUGAGACUCAGAGAGCCGGAGGGUUUGGCCGGCAAUGAGCACGAACGUGAACACACGCUGGAGGUACCGCAGUGAUCACCCAGUAACGACCGCGCGUGUCCGAAGGGCCCCCUCCAAUGACUGCCAGCUAUUCCGUCUCCACGCUCCGCGUGGACCACGUGCAGGACUAGAGUCUUCAGGGGAAACACGCUGCUGCACACAGCGAACAGCCGAGGAGCAGACCUGGUUUCUGCAGCCCGUGCCGGGGUGGGAGGGAAGGGGGCAGACGCGACUGUGCGCCCACCCGCACGGAAAGGAAGCCGCGGGAGGGAACGUGAUAACAGCUAGCGGCCAGGCGCUCUACAGUGGAUGUUCUUAACCACACGACAGCACUUCAGGGUGGGUAUUAUCAUCCCCGCUAACAGAUGAAGAGACGCAAUGACGAGGACUUGCCCAAGGCCACCUGGCUGGUAAAUGGCAGAUCGCCAAGGCAGAAACCUACAUCUGACUGAGUCCCAAGGUCAGUCUCGUCCCUCUUUACCUGCCUGUCCGGGCUGCCCUGGGAUGUCGAGUCAUCUUAAUCCCCCGUUCCUCAGACUUUUACCGUCACCUUUGUGCUCUCACCAGAAGUCGCAUGAAAGCUGCACGGGUUGAAACUCGCUGUUAAUCAGUGAGGGGGCUCCUCCCAGGGUGGGGGCUGGGAUAAAAAGGGCUCAGAAGAGAGAAAGGCUGUUGGUGGAGUUCCGUUCAGCUUUGCUCGACGAAGCCUUGUUUUUGGCGGUUCCCGGCCCUGGCGCGUGCCCCUGCACGCCACACUAGCUGUCAUGCUGCAUUACGAAUUCAUAACGGUAUUUAUAUGGAUUCAUAAACCAUUGACUUCUCCAGGAGAAUUUCAUGGUUAACACGUUGUGAAGAGACAAAUGAAGGACAUAUACCAUCGAUAUUAUCGAUCCUGUUACGUAUUUCUUUUUUGUAUAUAUAAAAGAAUAUUUUAAUCCUUGUCCGUAGAAACUAUAAGGAGACAUACAGGAUUUGGAAAUGAGACAGCACCAAACACUGGUCAAAGAAGAACCGCCCACUGUAUGCCUUCUUUUUCAUCAGGUCUCAGAAAUAUAAUGUUAUCAGUUGCCUACUGCUGCCUGUCGCCUCACGUUAUUUUUAUCCGUGUACUCACCAUAGUCUACUUUCCCUUCCGCUUAAAUUCGAGACCCCUUCUUCACAUACGUAUGUGCCACAUCUCUGAGGCCUGGUCAGAACGCUGAAAUUCUGUGCCACGUUGUCUUUUGACCAACAUCACCCAUUUGGUAUGCUUCAUUUUCUCCGGAUUUCCAUAUCUCAUUUGUCACUAGAGAAAAUAUUGUGACUGGGAUUUUCCCUUCCACCUGUCUCAUGACAGGGUCCUGAUCCACUCACCCAAGUAGCUGCACAGGAGUCAGAGAUCUUUCGAGAACUGAACUCGAGAACCCUCGCUACUUCAGACUCAUGUCUUACAAACUGAUGAAGCACCUGUAAUACAGGGCUUCGAAACAUGGCUUCUAUGUGUCUUUUCCUACAAUGUAACCUUUAGCACAGGACUCAUGCUUUCCCAGACCCCCUGUUACCUAUUUCUCACAGGGUAACAAAUAGACCACAAUAGAAGAAGCAAAUAAUUAUACCAGGUUCCCACUGAUAUAAACUACAGUGAAACUAGAUUGUUAGGAGCACAUAAUGCUAAAACAUUAGCACACUAAGACGAACGUUCUGGUGUUCAUGGCGUCAGCCAGGAAAAUUCAGACAAACAUUUUGUGGAUUUCUGGCUAUUUUUGAUUUCCAAAUGUAUGAAAAUCUCAGAAGAGUUCAAAAAGGAAAGAAAAUUUGUCACAUUUCAAACCAACAUAUUGAAUCAAAUAAAUUAAACCAUGAUUCUCAAACUGCUCGUGUAACUGACAGGUUCAAAUGCAUUUUAAAAAGGGGUCUGAUUCCAACCCCUGAAUGCCAUAAACAUGUCCUCCCUCCGGAGCCGUGCGCUGGGACAUCCAACCGCCAUCAGCGAACAGGAACAAAGCUGCACGCUCCCUGUCUACACGCGCACUGCGGCUCUCCCGGCUCCGCACUCGGCACCCACCCCUUUGAGUUCUCCCUGGGUAUUUGGCCCGUGCUGCUCUUGACUGAAAAGCAGUCGUUUUCUCUUUCUAAAGAAAACCUUGCUUCGGUCUCAGACAAAAACAGGAAGACAAGCCCUACUAAUGGUGAUCUCAAGUUAAUACAAAAGGAAUUCAUAUCCCAGGACUUCUGCUGGCGUCACCUGAAGAGCUGCCACCUGAGGCGUCGAAGCCAUCUGGGGGUGGGCUCUCACGUGGGCUUGUGGUGAGAACUGUUCAGUCAGGCGACUCUGACACAGAACAGACGACAAGACGCGGCCCACUUCACAUCACCUACCUCUGCCAACAACCACGUCUGACGAAGGGUGGGGGGAGAUUUGUUGUUUUUAA
Molecule: long non-coding RNA, 3426 nt
Organism: Pteropus alecto (black flying fox)
Lineage: Eukaryota; Metazoa; Chordata; Mammalia; Chiroptera; Pteropodidae
Exons: 3
Source: RefSeq, a predicted model, not a curated record